UNGUGCGAUUUUCAGCCAGCGUGUGUCC
RNAcentral lists this non-coding RNA (28 nucleotides) under Mus musculus (house mouse). Lineage: Eukaryota; Metazoa; Chordata; Mammalia; Rodentia; Muridae. The record is from RNAcentral.